This 253-nucleotide ribosomal RNA is filed under the name uncultured bacterium. RNAcentral describes it as "partial 16S ribosomal RNA". It matches the Rfam family "Bacterial small subunit ribosomal RNA", at positions 524 to 776 of the family's 1533-position model. The record is from RNAcentral.
GACAGAGGGGGCAAACGUUGUUCGGAAUUACUGGGCGUAAAGUGUGCGCAGGCGGCUUCGCAAGUCGGGUGUGAAAUCCCCGAGCUUAACUUGGGAAUUGCGCUCGAAACUACGGAGCUGGAGUGUGGCAGAGGAAGGUGGAAUUCCACGUGUAGCGGUGAAAUGCGUAGAGAUGUGGAGGAACACCGAUGGCGAAGGCAGCCUUCUGGGCCGACACUGACGCUCAUGCGCGAAAGCGUGGGGAGCAAACAGG